Molecule: ribosomal RNA, 461 nt
Filed under: uncultured bacterium
Lineage: Bacteria
Description: bacterial SSU rRNA
Rfam family: Bacterial small subunit ribosomal RNA
Source: RNAcentral
GAUUAUGGCUCAGAACGAACGCUGGCGGCAGGCCUAACACAGUGCAAGUCGAACGCCCCGCAAGGGGAGUGGCAGACGGGUGAGUAACACGUGGGAACCUACCUAUUGGUACGGAAUAACUCGGGGAAACCCGUGCUAAUACCGUAUACGCCCGAGAGGGGAAAGAUUUAUCGCCGAUAGGAUGGGCCCGCGUCGGAUCAGCUAGUUGGUGGGGUAAUGGCUCACCAAGGCGACGAUCCGUAGCUGGUCUGAGAGGAUGAUCAGCCACACUGGGACUGAGACACGGCCCAGACUCCUACGGGAGGCAGCAGUGGGGGAUAUUGCGCAAUGGGGGCAAACCCCCUGACGCAGCAACGCCGCGUGAAGGAUGAAGGUUUUCGGAUUGUAAACUUCUUUUAUCAGGAACGAAGCUUGACGGUACCUGAUGAAUAAGCUCCGGCUAACUACGUGCCAGCCGCCGC